Molecule: long non-coding RNA, 1560 nt
Organism: Oncorhynchus mykiss (rainbow trout)
Lineage: Eukaryota; Metazoa; Chordata; Actinopteri; Salmoniformes; Salmonidae
Source: Ensembl
AUGGAGCCAGGAACACAAGCAUUGUUAGAUAUUACUGCCCUGUUGGAGCUAGAAACACAAGCAUUGUUAGAUAUUACUGCCCUGUUGGAGCUAGAAACACAAGCAUUGUUAGAUAUUACUGCACUGUUGGAGCUAGAAACACAAGCAUUGUUAGAUAUUACUGCCCUGUUGGAGCUAGAAACACAAGCAUUGUUAGAUAUUACUGCCCUGUUGGAGCUAGAAACACAAGCAUUGUUAGAUAUUACUGCCCUGUUGGAGCCAGGAACACAAUCAUUGUUAGAUAUUACUGCCCUGUUGGAGCUAGAAACACAAGCAUUGUUAGAUAUUACUGCCCUGUUGGAGCCAGGAACACAAGCAUUGUUAGAUAUUACUGCCCUGUUGGAGCUAGAAACACAAGCAUUGUUAGAUAUUACUGCCCUGUUGGAGCCAGGAACACAAUCAUUGUUAGAUAUUACUGCCCUGUUGGAGCUAGAAACACAAGCAUUGUUAGAUAUUACUGCCCUCUGUGAGCCAGGAACACAAGCAUUGUUAGAUAUUACUGCCCUGUUGGAGCUAGAAACACAAGCAUUGUUAGAUAUUACUGCCCUCUGUGAGCCAGGAACACAAGCAUUGUUAGAUAUUACUGCCCUGUUGGAGCCAGAAACACAAGCAUUGUUAGAUAUUACUGCCCUGUUGGAGCGAGAAACACAAGCAUUGUUAGAUAUUACUGCCCUGUUGGAGCUAGAAACACAAGCAUUGUUAGAUAUUACUGCCAUGUUGGAGCGAGAAACACAAGCAUUGUUAGAUAUUACUGCCCUGUUGGAGCUAGAAACACAAGCAUUGUUAGAUAUUACUGCCCUGUUGGAGCCAGGAACACAAGCAUGGUUAGAUAUUACUGCCAUGUUGGAGCUAGAAACACAAGCAUUGUUAGAUAUUACUGCCCUGUUGGAGCCAGGAACACAAGCAUUGUUAGAUAUUACUGCCCUCUGUGAGUCAGGAACACAAGCAUUGUUAGAUAUUACUGCACUGUUGGAGCCAGAAACACAAGCAUUGUUAGAUAUUACUGCCCUGUUGGAGCCAGAAACACAAGCAUUGUUAGAUAUUACUGCCCUGUUGGAGCCAGAAACACAAGCAUUGUUAGAUAUUACUGCACUGUUGGAGCUAGAAACACAAGCAUUGUUAGAUAUUACUGCCCUGUUGGAGCUAGAAACACAAGCAUUGUUAGAUAUUACUGCCCUGUUGGAGCUAGAAACACAAGCAUUGUUAGAUAUUACUGCCCUGUUGGAGCUAGAAACACAAGCAUUGUUAGAUAUUACUGCCCUGUUGGAGCAGGAAACACAAGCAUUGUUAGAUAUUACUGCCCUGUUGGAGCCAGGAACACAAGCAUGGUUAGAUAUUACUGCCCUGUUGGAGCCAGGAACACAAGCAUUGUUAGAUAUUACUGCCCUGUUGGAGCUAGAAACACAAGCAUUGUUAGAUAUUACUGCCCUGUUGGAGCCAGGAACACAAGCAUUGUUAGAUAUUACUGCCCUGUUGGAGCCAGGAACACAAGCAUUUCACUACAACCGCGAUAACAUCUGA